Molecule: ribosomal RNA, 390 nt
Filed under: uncultured bacterium
Lineage: Bacteria
Description: bacterial SSU rRNA
Rfam family: Bacterial small subunit ribosomal RNA
Source: RNAcentral
CGGAUGGGGAUAGCCAGUAGAAAUAUUGGAUAAUACCGAAUACGAUUUCAUAUCUUAGAAGUAUGAAAUGAAAAGAGCUAUGGCUCUGCCGAUAGAACGGACCUGCGUAAUAUCAGCUUGUUGGUGAGGUAACGGCUCACCAAGGGCUAUGACAUUUAUCCGGCCUGAGAGGGUGAUCGGACACAUUGGGACUGAGAUACGGCCCAGACUCCUACGGGAGGCAGCAGCUAAGAAUAUUCCGCAAUGGACGAAAGUCUGACGGAGCGACACCGCGUGGAUGAUGAAGGCCCGGAAGGUUGUAAAAAUCCUUUUGUGUAUGAGGAAUAAGUAUCGUUAGGGAAUGACGGUAUGGUGACUGUAGUACAUGAAUAAGCAACGGCUAAUUACGUG